Molecule: small RNA, 640 nt
Filed under: Porites lobata
Lineage: Eukaryota; Metazoa; Cnidaria; Anthozoa; Scleractinia; Poritidae
Description: eukaryotic LSU rRNA
Rfam family: 5.8S ribosomal RNA (bases 241-394)
Source: RNAcentral
GGUGAACCUGCGGAAGGAUCAUUACCGAUGUGAAAGAAUCCAAGGUUAAACAUCAUUAACCAGUGUGAACUGUGAAACAACUCUUUAGGGGUCGGCACAGGCGUGUGUCGUUAAAUGGCGGAUAGGUUCCUUCCGCCAGCCCCGCCAUUGUGUUUAUGAUAUCACUUUGAACGUUAAAGACUGAGAACGUAUGUAUCACGCAUUAAAUGUAUGAGAAAGAAGGGAAGAAAAAUGAGAGACAACUUUUGACGAUGGAUCUCUUGGCUCACGUAUCGAUGAAGAACGCAGCCAGCUGCGAUAUGUAGUGUGAAUUGCAGAAUUCAGUGAAUCAUUGAAUCUUUGAACGCAAAUGGCGCUCUUGGGUUCUCCCAGGAGCAUGUCUGUCUGAGUGUCGGAUUUUAUCGAACGCACUCGUGAGUGCGGUAUUGAGGUGUCACGGCGUGUUAGCAUUAAAUCGCCGUGUCCCUUGAAGGACAGCAGCAUUGGACUCGCAUUCUCUAUUGAAACUUGAGUGCGAAGGCUAAAGAUAAUAUUUUCCUUCGCCCAAACAUGCAAUAGCAGAAACAAAAUCCAAUCAAAGCGGUGACAGACAAUGACAACAUCAAAUCUUGACCUCAGAUCAGGCAAGGCUACCCGCUGA